This 469-nucleotide ribosomal RNA is filed under the name Argiope bruennichi. RNAcentral describes it as "partial 16S ribosomal RNA". It matches the Rfam family "Bacterial large subunit ribosomal RNA", at positions 1947 to 2711 of the family's 2925-position model. The record is from RNAcentral. Lineage: Eukaryota; Metazoa; Arthropoda; Arachnida; Araneae; Araneidae.
CGUGCUAAGGUAGCAUAAUCAUUAGCCUCUUAAUUAGAGGCUCGUAUGAACGGUGAAACAUUUCAAUUACUUUUUUACUUAAUAUAUUUAAAUUUAAAUUAAGAAUAAAAAUGUUCUUAUUUAUAAAAUAGACGAUAAGACCCUUUUGAACUUCACUCUAGUUUAGCUGGGGCAGCUAAAAAAUAAUAAUCUUAUUUUUGAUAUUUAAAUAAUGACCCAAUAAAAUUGAUUACAUGAACAAGUUACCAUAGGGAUAACAGCGUAAUAUCUUUUUAAAGCUCUUAUUAAAAAAGAAGAUUGCGACCUCGAUGUUGAAUUAAUGUAACUUUAAUGCAGUAAUUUUAAAAGUAGGUCUGUUCGACCUUUAAAACAUUACAUGAUUUGAGUUCAAAUCGGUGUAAACCAGAUUGGUUUCUAUCUUUUAUUUUUAUUUAUUCAGUACGAAAGGACCAAUAAAUUUAUUUUUAAU